Molecule: ribosomal RNA, 297 nt
Filed under: uncultured bacterium
Lineage: Bacteria
Description: partial 16S ribosomal RNA
Rfam family: Bacterial small subunit ribosomal RNA
Source: RNAcentral
GCCUACGGGGCGCAGCAGUGGGGGAUAUUGGUCAAUGGGGGAAACCCUGAACCAGCAACGCCGCGUGAGGGAAGACGGUUUUCGGAUUGUAAACCUCUGUCCUCUGUGAAGAUAAUGACGGUAGUAGAGGAGGAAGCUCCGGCUAACUACGUGCCAGCAGCCGCGGUAGUACGUAGGGAGCGAGCGUUGUCCGGAUUUACUGGGUGUAAAGGGUGCGUAGGCGGGUAAGCGAGGCAGAAGGGAAAUCCAUGGGCUUAAACCAUGAACUGCUUUUGAAACUGUUUAUCUUGAGUGAAG